This 435-nucleotide ribosomal RNA is filed under the name Parasteatoda japonica. RNAcentral describes it as "partial 16S ribosomal RNA". It matches the Rfam family "Bacterial large subunit ribosomal RNA", at positions 1908 to 2624 of the family's 2925-position model. Lineage: Eukaryota; Metazoa; Arthropoda; Arachnida; Araneae; Theridiidae. The record is from RNAcentral.
GCUCAUGAAUCUUAAAUAGCCGCAGAAAUUCUGUGCUAAGGUAGCAUAAUCAUUUGCUUUCUAAUUAAAAGCUAGAAUGAAAGGUUUAACGUUUUAAUAAUUUUAUUUUUUAUAUUUAUUUAAAUUAUAUUAAAUAUAAAAAUAUAUUUAUUUAUAAAAAAGACGACAAGACCCUAUUGAACUUAACUUUAGUUAAGCUGGGGCAGCUUAUUAAUUAUGAUUUUAAUUAAAAUUAUUCAUUUAAAAAUCCGACAUAGUUGAUUUAUUUAUUAAGUUACCAUAGGGAUAACAGCGUAAUAUUAAUUUAAAGUUCAUAUUAAAAUUAAUGUUUGCGACCUCGAUGUUGAAUUAUAAUUCUAUAUUUAACGCAAUAGUUAUAUAAGUAGGUCUGUUCGACCUUUAAUAUUUUACAUGAUCUGAGUUCAAAACCGGAGA